This 429-nucleotide ribosomal RNA is filed under the name Chloroflexota bacterium. Its description in RNAcentral is "Chloroflexi bacterium partial 16S ribosomal RNA". It matches the Rfam family "Bacterial small subunit ribosomal RNA", at positions 355 to 776 of the family's 1533-position model. Lineage: Bacteria; Bacillati; Chloroflexota. The record is from RNAcentral.
UGGGGAAUAUUGCACAAUGGGCGCAAGCCUGAUGCAGCCAUGCCGCGUGUGUGAAGAAGGCCUUCGGGUUGUAAAGCACUUUCAGCGGGGAGGAAGGCGAUAAGGUUAAUAACCUUGUCGAUUGACGUUACCCGCAGAAGAAGCACCGGCUAACUCCGUGCCAGCAGCCGCGGUAAUACGGAGGGUGCAAGCGUUAAUCGGAAUUACUGGGCGUAAAGCGCACGCAGGCGGUCUGUCAAGUCGGAUGUGAAAUCCCCGGGCUCAACCUGGGAACUGCAUUAGAAACUGGCAGGCUAGAGUCUUGUAGAGGGGGGUAGAAUUCCAGGUGUAGCGGUGAAAUGCGUAGAGAUCUGGAGGAAUACCGGUGGCGAAGGCGGCCCCCUGGACAAAGACUGACGCUCAGGUGCGAAAGCGUGGGGAGCAAACAGG